Molecule: regulatory RNA element, 148 nt
Organism: Olsenella sp. An188
Lineage: Bacteria; Bacillati; Actinomycetota; Coriobacteriia; Coriobacteriales; Atopobiaceae
Rfam family: FMN riboswitch aptamer (RFN element)
About the family: The RFN element is a highly conserved domain that is found frequently in the 5'-untranslated regions of prokaryotic mRNAs that encode for flavin mononucleotide (FMN) biosynthesis and transport proteins. This element is a metabolite-dependent riboswitch that directly binds FMN in the absence of proteins.
Source: Rfam
UGUCAGUUUCAGGGCGGGGUGAAAGUCCCCACUGGCGGUGACGGGAGGCGCGCGGCGCCGGGCCCGAAGUCCGCGACCCGCUAAAAAGGCGGCUGACCCGGUGAGACUCCGGGACCAACGGUUACAGUCCGGAUGGAAGAAACGGAGG